AACGAACGCUGGCGGCGCGCCUAACACAUGCAAGUCGAACGAGAAUCCGGGGCAACCCGGUAGUAAAGUGGCAAACGGGUGAGGAAUACAUGGGUAACCUACCCUUGAGAAGGGAAUAACCCGCCGAAAGGUGAGCUAAUACCCUAUACGCUAUCUUUUUUUCGAAAAGGAUAGGAAAGCCGGGUCGAGGACCUGGUACUCAAGGAGGGGCUCAUGUCCUAUCAGCUUGUUGGUGGGGUAACGGCCUACCAAGGCUACGACGGGUAGCUGGUCUGAGAGGAUGAUCAGCCACACUGGCACUGAGAUACGGGCCAGACUCCUACGGGAGGCAGCAGUGAGGAAUAUUGCGCAAUGGGCGAAAGCCUGACGCAGCGACGCCGCGUGGGGGAUGAAGGUUUUCGGAUUGUAAACCCCUUUCAUGAGGAAAGAUAAAGUGGGUAACCACUUAGACGGUACCUCAAGAAGAAGCCACGGCUAACUUCGUGCCAGCAGCCGCGGUAAAGUGACUACU
Molecule: ribosomal RNA, 511 nt
Filed under: uncultured bacterium
Lineage: Bacteria
Description: bacterial SSU rRNA
Rfam family: Bacterial small subunit ribosomal RNA
Source: RNAcentral